AAAUAUUCGAAAAGGAGGUUAAGGAAAAAUUAGAGGAGGAAAAAAUGAGGAGUUAGUUGCAGAUGAAGUUAAAGGAUACACCUUUGAUCAAUUCAUAGAUAAAAACUCACCAUGAAUGAGAAUCAAGAAACAAAUUCUGAAUGAACCAAACCCAGAGCUACCAGGUUACGUUAAACCACCUUACCCAAUCAUGAAAAAUAAACCGAG
This 207-nucleotide long non-coding RNA is filed under the name Lathyrus oleraceus (garden pea). Its description in RNAcentral is "Pisum sativum (pea) long non-coding RNA (PSAT_LNC001483)". Lineage: Eukaryota; Viridiplantae; Streptophyta; Magnoliopsida; Fabales; Fabaceae. The record is from RNAcentral.